AAUAUUUGUCUUCUCAUCCUUGAAUGCUCAGCUGUUUCCGAUUGUUUCGAGGUUAAACUCUCAUGAAAACAAAUUGUUGAUCCUAGAGCCUAUGACAAUGAUGACUUUAAAAUAAUAAUUUGAAAUUCCCAUGAAAAUACAUUUUCCCCUAAUUUGGUUCAGUCAACCUUGAAAUAUAAGUUCUGAUGGUCUUGUUUUCAUCAUAAAUUUGAUGAAAGUGAAAUGUUUAUAAACAUUAAAAACAUUAGCUCAUAAAUUCAUUUCCAAUGAUAGAAGCUGUAAUACAAUGCAACAAAUUAGAGAGUUAAUAGCCUGGGCUGGAUACAUGUUUUCAAGUAAAAGCCAAGCAUUCUGGCUCAUAAGGAUCAACAUUAAUUGUUGAAGUUACAAGAUGCAAUUUAAUUUGGCCUAAGGUGAUGUGAAUUCACUGAGAAAUAUUCCUCGUAAUUAUCAAGUUCCAAUCAUUCUGAAUAAACUUUACCCUUCACAUUCAAGGCCAAGGUUCUUCUCGGUUAUCCACGUUAUUGACUUAAUCAAGGAAAGAUGAUCAGUUGAUUUGGAUGUUGAAAAAGUCAAGUGAAGAAAGCAAAGAGUUUAAAAAAAGAUGUUAACCCGUUGUGAGGAUCAAUCCCGUCAGAUCCCUUCAUUGAUACAGACUUUCUAAUCAUUUAACUCAAGCCUUGAGCAACUAAUGCAAUCCUCCUCUUCAAUCAUCAUCAUCAUCAUCAUCUUUCUUCCCCUCUUUUCAGCAGCAAACUUCAUAACAAAUUAACGGACUAAACAACUUCUUCUUUUUGGUAUAAUCUUUUUCCUUGCUCAUGAAAUGAUCUGCUCCGAAUCCGAUUUUAUUUCCUGGUCUGUUCCCGAGAAAAGAAGGAGUGAAAUGAUGCCAUGUUCCGGUAGCAAUGAGAAGAAGAGGAAUCAGAUGAUGAAGAUAACGUGGAUGACUUUAAAGGUAAAUAUUGAAGGAUAAUUUGAUCAACAAGUUAAAAGCCGGAUAAUUUGAUGAAAACAAAAACAGAUGCUUCAACACUUUUAUGUACUGUUGAUAAUUACCAUGCUCAUGUUGAUUUUUUGCUCAAUCAACUGACUCUAAUUUUAUCCUGAUUGAAUAGCAAUAACAAUUGAAUUAACCCUGAUUUAAAUAACCAUGUAAUCAGUAUUAUUAGUUGGUAAUCAGUUGACCUACUUACCAAAUAAUAUUUACUUUUAAAUAUUUGUUAAGUUAACCUGUCUGAUGUUUGAAUAUAAUUAAAAAUUUUCAAGGCAAUGAAAUAAAGGAUCAACACUUGAUUUUUAUCAUCGUCUAAA
Molecule: non-coding RNA, 1311 nt
Organism: Tetranychus urticae (two-spotted spider mite)
Lineage: Eukaryota; Metazoa; Arthropoda; Arachnida; Trombidiformes; Tetranychidae
Source: RefSeq, a predicted model, not a curated record